ACCAUGGAAGUUGGCCACGCCCGAAGCCGUUACUCCAACCCUCGGGAGGAGGACGUCGAAGGUGGGGCUGAUGACUGGGGUGAAGUCGUAACAAGGUAUCCGUACCGGAAGGUGCGGAUGGAUCACCUCCUAA
This 133-nucleotide ribosomal RNA is filed under the name uncultured cyanobacterium. RNAcentral's name for it is "partial 16S ribosomal RNA". It matches the Rfam family "Bacterial small subunit ribosomal RNA", at positions 1401 to 1533 of the family's 1533-position model. Lineage: Bacteria; Bacillati; Cyanobacteriota. The record is from RNAcentral.